GAUUUCUGGCCUGGUGCGCCCUGUCCGCCGCCGUCAGGCGCGUGAGUACGGGGUUGUGCCUGCCAUCCUUCCGGGGAGGCCGUCUGCUCUUCACUGAGUGGGCGGUCGACCUGGAUCGUUUACUUUGAAAAAAUUAGAGUGUUUAAAGCAGGCGUUUGCUGUGAAUACAUUAGCAUGGAAUAAUAAAAUAGGACUUUGGUUCUAUUUUGUUGGUUUCUAGGACUGAAGUAAUGAUUGAUAGGGACAGUUGGGGGUGCUAGUAUUCGGCGGCCAGAGGUGAAAUUCUUGGAUUCGCUGAAGACUAACUAAUGCGAAAGCAUU
Molecule: ribosomal RNA, 321 nt
Filed under: Mesofilidae sp.
Lineage: Eukaryota; Cercozoa; Mesofilidae
Description: SSU rRNA
Rfam family: Eukaryotic small subunit ribosomal RNA (bases 109-321)
Source: RNAcentral